RNAcentral lists this ribosomal RNA (838 nucleotides) under Streptomyces sp. IM-6826. RNAcentral's name for it is "bacterial SSU rRNA". It matches the Rfam family "Bacterial small subunit ribosomal RNA", at positions 38 to 889 of the family's 1533-position model. Lineage: Bacteria; Bacillati; Actinomycetota; Actinomycetes; Kitasatosporales; Streptomycetaceae. The record is from RNAcentral.
GGCGGCGUGCUUAACACAUGCAAGUCGAACGAUGAAGCCACUUCGGUGGUGGAUUAGUGGCGAACGGGUGAGUAACACGUGGGCAAUCUGCCCUUCACUCUGGGACAAGCCCUGGAAACGGGGUCUAAUACCGGAUAUCAGGUUCGCAGGCAUCUGUGGAUCUGGAAAGCUCCGGCGGUGAAGGAUGAGCCCGCGGCCUAUCAGCUUGUUGGUGAGGUAGUGGCUCACCAAGGCGACGACGGGUAGCCGGCCUGAGAGGGCGACCGGCCACACUGGGACUGAGACACGGCCCAGACUCCUACGGGAGGCAGCAGUGGGGAAUAUUGCACAAUGGGCGAAAGCCUGAUGCAGCGACGCCGCGUGAGGGAUGACGGCCUUCGGGUUGUAAACCUCUUUCAGCAGGGAAGAAGCGAAAGUGACGGUACCUGCAGAAGAAGCGCCGGCUAACUACGUGCCAGCAGCCGCGGUAAUACGUAGGGCGCAAGCGUUGUCCGGAAUUAUUGGGCGUAAAGAGCUCGUAGGCGGCUUGUCACGUCGAUUGUGAAAGCCCGAGGCUUAACCUCGGGUCUGCAGUCGAUACGGGCUAGCUAGAGUGUGGUAGGGGAGAUCGGAAUUCCUGGUGUAGCGGUGAAAUGCGCAGAUAUCAGGAGGAACACCGGUGGCGAAGGCGGAUCUCUGGGCCAUUACUGACGCUGAGGAGCGAAAGCGUGGGGAGCGAACAGGAUUAGAUACCCUGGUAGUCCACGCCGUAAACGGUGGGCACUAGGUGUUGGCGACAUUCCACGUCGUCGGUGCCGCAGCUAACGCAUUAAGUGCCCCGCCUGGGGAGUACGGCCGC